This 437-nucleotide long non-coding RNA is filed under the name Solanum tuberosum (potato). RNAcentral's name for it is "long non-coding RNA (STUB_LNC001825)". The record is from RNAcentral. Lineage: Eukaryota; Viridiplantae; Streptophyta; Magnoliopsida; Solanales; Solanaceae.
UACUUUUAUUUUUUAAGCUUAUGACAAGGACAGAGCACGUUACCUACAAUUUUGAAUUAACACAAGUGAUACCUUUAAAUUAAUAUUUUUUAUCUACAGUACAAACCAAAAACUAGAACAAAACUAAAUUAGCAAUCAUAUGAUUUCAAACAAAUUCGAUCAGAUCAAACAGUAAAUUAACAAUAAGCUUUGAAAGGGCAAGUAUUCUGCUAGCAACAAUCGCGGACAGCCAAUAGACCAAAAUAAUGGUCUCCGAGGCUAGAAUCGAUAUCCCUAAAUUCUAAAGCGGGACACAUGAGAUCAAAGAAAAGCCAGGAAUUCAAGACAUAAACAAUGAUAGACGAAUGUUGACUUAACAUAACGUAGCAAUAUAGAUAGAUGACCCUCCCUUCUAACGUGUAAUGAAUGCUCAAACAAUGGUACCGAGAUGAAUGUCA